GAUGAACGCUGGCGGCGUGCCUAAUACAUGCAAGUCGAACGCGAGAGGAGGGAGCUUGCUCCCUCUGAUCGAGUGGCGGACGGGUGAGUAACACGUAGGCAACCUGCCCAUCAGUCCGGGAUAACCGCGGGAAACCGUGGCUAAUACCGGAUGAUCCUCUCCACCGCGGGGUGGGGAGUUGAAAGACGGUUUCGGCUGUCGCUGAUGGUCGGGCCUGUGGCGCAUUAGCUGGUUGGCGGGGUAACGGCCCACCAAGGCAACGAUGCGUAGCCGACCUGAGAGGGUGAUCGGCCACACUGGGACUGAGACACGGCCCAGACUCCUACGGGAGGCAGCAGUAGGGAAUCUUCCGCAAUGGACGCAAGUCUGACGGAGCAACGCCGCGUGAGUGAAGAAGGGUUUCGGCUCGUAAAACUCUGUUGUUAAGGAAGAACGACAGGUAGAGUAACUGCUACCUGUGUGACGGUACUUAACCAGAAAGCCACGGCUAACUACGUGCCAGCAGCCGCGGUAA
Molecule: ribosomal RNA, 514 nt
Filed under: uncultured bacterium
Lineage: Bacteria
Description: partial 16S ribosomal RNA
Rfam family: Bacterial small subunit ribosomal RNA
Source: RNAcentral